AACUUGCCCCAGGUUACCCACCUCCCAGCUGCAAAAGAAAAGGGCUUAGUUCUUCUCCUGCCUGUGGAGUCUGCACACUGGAUUUGUGCCCUCCUCUGAGUUCUGGCCAGGAGGCUUCUCACCCAGUUCAAAUUGUUACCAAGUUAUCUGGAGAUUUCCUUCUCCCUGUGGUGUUCACCCCUGCCCUCUGAUUCCUCUGUCCACCCUCUCGAUGGAUCACUGUGAUGCCAUGCAGAAAUGGCCUGCCUGGGGAUCCGCUGCAAUAAAGCUGGUACUUCAGAACACAAAAGCUAGAUUCCUGCUGUGACUUCUCAAAAACUGCUUCUCAAAAUACUCAUGCAACAGCUGACACAUAAAAAAUGUACAUGAAUGUCUGGAUGGCUUCCCAGACCUGUCUGGAAGUACACACCCAGUUUUCAGGUGAUGGAGAUGUCUUCAAAAUGUUGGACUUCUAGCAAGAGUUCUCUGCCUAAAACUGUAUGUGAGAUUCUGAAAGAGGUAUAUUAAAGUCUCAGCAUGAAAGC
This is a long non-coding RNA of Homo sapiens (human), 524 nucleotides long. Ensembl annotates it as long intergenic non-protein coding RNA 2006. Lineage: Eukaryota; Metazoa; Chordata; Mammalia; Primates; Hominidae. The record is from Ensembl.